CAGGGACUUCUGACGCUCCCAGCCCUUUAGCCUGGCAAACCUGAAGUACAAGAAAAGGACUUUUUCCUACAUUUUAGCACAAGCUGGGAGCUGCGAGCAACAAAAUCCCUUGGUCAUGAGAUGAGCUUCACUUCACUCCUGUUUUUCCCAGCCACCACAGUUAAAUCAGGUGUGAGCUGCUUGGGCCAUCCCUAAGAAACCAAAGUGAAGGGGUGGACAUAUGGAUGCUUUGGAUACUGUCUAAUACAGCAUCAAGAUAGAGCUGAAGCUUACACCCAGCCCUGGUUAACUAACUUUAUGGUUCUCAUGACAUGAAUCAAAAAAUAGCUUUAAGAUAGCUGCAUGGAUACUCCUCUUACUAAUUGUUUUCUAUGAUGUUGUUGAUAUUUGUGGAAGCUGCCAACAAUGGAAAAGUGGAUCUGGUCACUUGGGAAGGCGCAACACUGCAUAAUUGUUCCUCCUAUAGCUGCUGGGGUUGCUGCUCCAGGAUGCAGUUUCAAAGCUGGUGUUGGAUAAGUGGUCCUGCAGGGAGGUGCUGGGUUUGCUCAGGCAGGUC
Cyanistes caeruleus (blue tit) is the source of this 556-nucleotide non-coding RNA. Lineage: Eukaryota; Metazoa; Chordata; Aves; Passeriformes; Paridae. The record is from RefSeq and is a predicted model, not a curated record.